RNAcentral lists this non-coding RNA (27 nucleotides) under Mus musculus (house mouse). The record is from RNAcentral. Lineage: Eukaryota; Metazoa; Chordata; Mammalia; Rodentia; Muridae.
UGGAAACCUAGAAAAGAGGCUGACAGA